RNAcentral lists this long non-coding RNA (1391 nucleotides) under Rosa chinensis. RNAcentral's name for it is "sRNA RchiOBHm_Chr2g0160821". The record is from RNAcentral. Lineage: Eukaryota; Viridiplantae; Streptophyta; Magnoliopsida; Rosales; Rosaceae.
GAACACCAUUUUAAUCUUUUGUAGUCCUGUUUCAUAAUUUUUAGAUAAAAGGAACUUUGCAAUAGAAAGCUCUGGUUGUAAGUUCUCCAAUCUGCAAUUUUAAUCAUGAGGAGAGCAAGAUGGGUUAUUCCAGCAUCUGGUAUUGCUUUAUCAAUUGCCAAACAAUAGGAUGUUCCAUGACUUUUUGGUAUAUGUUAUUAACUUUGAAAAUCAGUUCACAUCGUAUGUUUUCCUGAAAUGGGAAGUUUUCUGUGAUCUUUCGCUUUCUUUUGGGAUUAGAAGAAAAAAGAGGAAAAUAGACCCAUUCUGAAGUACAAUGACAUGCUGUGUACAUUAGAAAAGAAACAUUUAAACCUGCUAACAUAGCCUGAGAUUGCUUAAUAGACAUGUAGGCCAAUGAAACUAUAUUAAUAGAUUCUAUUGAGUAUUUCAACAAUACAAAGAAGAUUCAUUACUAGAUUCUCAUUAUUAUUGAUUCUUAGUAUAUUUUCUUUGUGAUGCAAAUAGAUCGUACAGAGACACAAUAAAAGUAGAAGAAGAAGAAGAAGAAGAAGAAGAAGAAGAAGAAGAAGAAGAAGAAACAAUAUAACAUAUCUAACUCUAUUACAUUUUAAAAACACAGAUUUGCGGAUCCUUAUUACACCAUGGAAAUCCUAGCAAGCCAGCCCAAACAAAUAAUGAGUCAUCAGGAAUAGGAAUCUGUCAAGAAGAAAACAGUAUUCGAGUUAAACGUCCUUCAUCCCACCACAUACCAGAUAUUCCUCUGAUCAAGAGAAGGAUAUGGCAAGGCCAUAGUAGACGUAAAGAAAGUGUUGGACCAAUUUGAUGAUUUGCUCAAUGCCGACAGCAUAAUUUUCAAAAAUGCUAGAUGCAAGGUGCUUUUUAGCGAUUACUUUGUGAAACUAUUCAAGAAACUGAUAUCGGCAUGUUUGGAGAAGUUAGCACUCAGCACUAAAUCUGCUACUGAAGCUUCAUGUGGCUACAGACCCAAGAAGCGCAGUGUAGAGAGAAUUUGUAGUAGCCCUUCACUAAUCUUGAAGAAAUUUAAGGUUAAAUCUCAUUGUUUACACAACAGACUAUGGCAUAGGAUAUGAGAUAGAUUCAAAUGUUAACGGUUUGAGACAUGUUGCCAUCGAAGGAUAUCCCAAAGUUGCAAUAUCGCCUGGAGACUGUUUUCAACAGAUAUACAAAUGAUUUUAUGGGAACAUUUUUGUUAUCCCGCAGCAUCGCGCGGGGUACUACCUAGUUACUUUGGAAUGCUACUGGUAUAUUAGAGUUUAGAUGCAGAGAAUGGAGUGUUUUUAUUAAUCUCACCAUGAGGUUUAUAUAGGACUACCUCAGGUAUAUAAAAGGUAACCAUUUAACGAUUACACCUAUUACUUGUAUGAUUA